Long non-coding RNA from Lycium barbarum (goji berry), 1022 nucleotides. RefSeq lists it as uncharacterized. The transcript has 3 exons. The record is from RefSeq and is a predicted model, not a curated record. Lineage: Eukaryota; Viridiplantae; Streptophyta; Magnoliopsida; Solanales; Solanaceae.
CUUCGGCCUUCAGUUACAAAACCCAAACGCGGCUACUGUUUUCCAUUCAACAAAACUCAAAAGGCACUUUCUUUUGCUUAUACGCCCUUUCUUCCUGUUCUUCCUUCCAUUCUCUUCGAUUCAUCAAGUCAAACUUUAGAAUUUUUUUGGCUCAGUCGUUUCCCAACAAAAGCUACAACUUUUUGCCGUUUCAAACAAAACCCCGUGUCAUCAAUUUCUUACAAAAUUACUCACCCAAUUCAUAAUGUCGAAGCACACCAACUUUCGCAAAACAUAAAUUAGUCAAUAGAGUAGAAGACUUCCGCCCAUCUAUCGUGCCAUUUCAAACCAAAAAUUCAAGAUCUUCAAUUUCGUAGCAGCAAAGGCACAUAAGAAAUUACUAAAGGAGAAGAAGUUUAUGGUCUGUGAGAAAAAUGUGAAGUGUUGCAGGGUGAGAUGACACAUAAGAGAAGUUGUAUUUUCUUCUCUGUAAGGAGAUGAGGGUGGUGUCCAACUGGAGACAAGGUAGCAACGGAUGGAGAAGAGUAUCGAGUAAUUACAGUAACAAGAACUGAGGAUGGGGUAAAUUGCUACAUUGGUAGCAGGGACUAACGGAAUAGAUUAUGUCUUGGCCCGAGCCACUGAGAUGGGCUGAAGUUCAUGCUAAAAGAAACGGCUCAAGUGCGGCAAUUUGUUUAAUUACUAUUGUUGCUUGUGUGUAUCACCUUUGGAUUGAGAGGAAAGAGUUUUUUCAAGCAAAGCAGAUGGAGCCAAGGAGAAUAGUCACGAAAUUCAUUCAGGAGGUCUUCUACAAAGGAUCCAUGAAGAACAUAUUAAGUAGGAGUCGUGAGAAGUAAAACUUUUUUUUUGAUAGAUCAGUUGUAGUAGAAAUGAUAGGAGUAUCCGGUUGCAGGCUUGUAGCUUUGGAAAUGUCUAGCUGUGGUUUUUUCAUGUACGUAGGGUUACUGGUAAUUAAAAAAGUUAUUUACCAGAAAAAACAAUGAGAAGCGAAUUAAAUCAAAGAAUAAAUAUUAAGAUCGGUA